CCUACGGGAGGCUGCAGUGGGGAAUAUUGCACAAUGGGGGGAACCCUGAUGCAGCAAUGCCGCGUGGGUGAAGAAGCACUCCGGUGCGUAAAGCCCUGUCAGCAGGGAAGAAAAUGACAGUACCUGGACAAGAAGCCCCGGCUAACUACGUGCCAGCAGCCGCGGUAAUACGUAGGGGGCAAGCGUUAUCCGGAUUUACUGGGUGUAAAGGGCGUGCAGCCGGGAAGACAAGUCAGAUGUGAAAUCCCGCGGCUCAACCGCGGAACUGCAUUUGAAACUGUUUUUCUUGAUUACCGGAGAGGUCAUCGGAAUUCCUUGUGUAGCGGUGAAAUGCGUAGAUAUAAGGAAGAACACCAGUGGCGAAGGCGGAUGACUGGACGGCAACUGACGGUGAGGCGCGAAAGCGUGGGGAGCAAACAGGAUUAGAUACCCGUGUAGUC
Molecule: ribosomal RNA, 440 nt
Filed under: uncultured bacterium
Lineage: Bacteria
Description: partial 16S ribosomal RNA
Rfam family: Bacterial small subunit ribosomal RNA
Source: RNAcentral